This 333-nucleotide unclassified non-coding RNA is filed under the name soil metagenome. Its description in RNAcentral is "partial contains 5.8S ribosomal RNA, internal transcribed spacer 2, and large subunit ribosomal RNA". The stretch from base 1 to 120 matches the Rfam family "5.8S ribosomal RNA", at positions 35 to 154 of the family's 154-position model. The record is from RNAcentral.
GAUGAAGAACGUAGCGAAAUGCGAUAAGUAGUGUGAAUUGCAGACUUUAGUGAAUCAUCGAAUCUUUGAACGCACAUUGCGCCCCUCGGUAUUCCGUGGGGCAUGCCUGUUCGAGCGUCAUUUACCCCUCAAGCACUGCUUGGUGUUGGGCGUCUGUCCCGCUUCGCGCGCGGACUCGCCCCAAAGGUAUUGGCAGCGGUCGUGCCAGCUUCUCGCGCAGCACAUUGCGCUUCUCGAGGCGGUCGAUCGGCGUCCACGAAGCUCACCUCCACCGUUUGACCUCGGAUCAGGUAGGGAUACCCGCUGAACUUAAGCAUAUCAAUAAGCGGAGGA